UCCCUCAUAACUUAGUUGGUAGAGAAUCUACCUGCAAUGCAGAAGACUCAGGUUUGAUUCCUGGGUUGGGAA
RNAcentral lists this transfer RNA (72 nucleotides) under Bos taurus (domestic cattle). It matches the Rfam family "tRNA". From Rfam's summary of the family: Transfer RNA (tRNA) molecules are approximately 80 nucleotides in length. Their secondary structure includes four short double-helical elements and three loops (D, anti-codon, and T loops). Further hydrogen bonds mediate the characteristic L-shaped molecular structure. tRNAs have two regions of fundamental functional importance: the anti-codon, which is responsible for specific mRNA codon recognition, and the 3' end, to which the tRNAs corresponding amino acid is attached (by aminoacyl-tRNA synthetases). tRNAs cope with the degeneracy of the genetic code in two manners: having more than one tRNA (with a specific anti-codon) for a particular amino acid; and 'wobble' base-pairing, i.e. permitting non-standard base-pairing at the 3rd anti-codon position. RNAcentral also lists the same sequence under 3 other names. Lineage: Eukaryota; Metazoa; Chordata; Mammalia; Artiodactyla; Bovidae. The record is from Rfam by way of RNAcentral.